UUGAACGCUGGCGGCAGGCCUAACACAUGCAAGUCGAACGGUAACAGGAAACAGCUUGCUGUUUCGCUGACGAGUGGCGGCCGGGUGAGUAAUGUCUGGGAAACUGCCUGAUGGAGGGGGAUAACUACUGGAAACGGUAGCUAAUACCGCAUAACGUCGCAAGACCAAAGAGGGGGACCUUCGGGCCUCUUGCCAUCGGAUGUGCCCAGAUGGGAUUAGCUAGUAGGUGGGGUAACGGCUCACCUAGGCGACGAUCCCUAGCUGGUCUGAGAGGAUGACCAGCCACACUGGAACUGAGACACGGUCCAGACUCCUACGGGAGGCAGCAGUGGGGAAUAUUGCACAAUGGGCGCAAGCCUGAUGCAGCCAUGCCGCGUGUAUGAAGAAGGCCUUCGGGUUGUAAAGUACUUUCAGCGGGGAGGAAGGGAGUAAAGUUAAUACCUUUACUCAUUGACGUUACCCGCAGAAGAAGCACCGGCUAACUCCGUG
Molecule: ribosomal RNA, 489 nt
Filed under: uncultured bacterium
Lineage: Bacteria
Description: partial 16S ribosomal RNA
Rfam family: Bacterial small subunit ribosomal RNA
Source: RNAcentral